UCUCGUCCUCUCUCUCUUCAAGGAGCCGAUGCUCUCUUCUUCUCAAGAUCGGCGCUCGGCCACCUCUCAAAUCCGGCCGGCUUUCUCUUCCUCGGCUGUUCAGCGGCCGUCUGCUAUCACCGGCGUCAGCCUUCCACGCGUCUAACCCAACGCCGCCCUUUCUCUUCAUCGCAGAUCCCUAAUCGUCAAACCCAGGUCGCUGCUGUGGCCGCAUCCUCGUCUGAAAUCCGCCGGGCUGCUGUCGUCUGGGAGCGGCGCUGCUUCGCCUGGAGUCGCCGCCGGCUGGAGUUGCUGCUGUUCGUCCGGUGGUCAGUGCCGACUGCUGCUGUUUCGCCGGAGUCGCGGCCUGCUGGACUUCGUCUGCCGCUGCUCUGUGAACCGGCGGGAGUCGCCGUUGGCGUCGCGCUGCCUUUGCCCUAAAAUUGGCAAGGCUGUUGCUCGACGCUCCGCCUCCUCUAUUGGGAACUACCGCCUCCCUGUAACGUCGUUGGAAGCUGCUCCGUACUCGAGCCCCUGCUCUUCUUCCUCAGAAAUCAGCCGUCGCCGCCACUGAAGAAUCGGCGAGGUCUCCGUGCUCCCCUCAUUGUUUUCGUCCGGCAGGUAGCAAGCCAGAGGCUGCCACCGCCACCGCCAAGGGGCAGUCGCCCUCCUCCUCGUUUAUUGAAACAGGUGAGUAAAGAAUGAAUGGAGGUAGGUUGCUGCUGAAUUGUUUGCUUGAAGGAGUGUUGGCUAGUAGCCUUAAAGAAUCGAGAUGGUGGAGGUGGUUUGAAUAGGUGGGGAGCAAUAGGUAGUGGGGUGGCAGCACACUUAUUUUGCUUUCCACUAACUUUAUGGACAUUUCUUAUCUCUCUUCUUUAAUUGUUGUGCCAACUAGAGUGAGUGGCAGUAAGGUGGCCACGUAAAUUCAACCUUGUAAUAUACUAUAUGAUUUUCCCCAAGCUGGGAAGUAGACUGUAUUCGUGAACUAUAAUAAUAUACUGGCUUCUAUUCUCUAUCA
Molecule: long non-coding RNA, 997 nt
Organism: Salvia miltiorrhiza (redroot sage)
Lineage: Eukaryota; Viridiplantae; Streptophyta; Magnoliopsida; Lamiales; Lamiaceae
Exons: 2
Source: RefSeq, a predicted model, not a curated record